Molecule: ribosomal RNA, 253 nt
Filed under: uncultured bacterium
Lineage: Bacteria
Description: partial 16S ribosomal RNA
Rfam family: Bacterial small subunit ribosomal RNA
Source: RNAcentral
CACGUAGGGGGCGAGCUUUGUCCGGAUUUACUGGGCGUAAAGGGCGCGUAGGCGGCGUAACAAGUCACUUGUGAAAUCUCCGGGCUUAACCCGGAGCGGCCAAGUGAUACUGUUGUGCUAGAGUGCGGAAGGGGCUACUGGAAUUCUCGGUGUAGCGGUGAAAUGCGUAGAUAUCGAGAGGAACACCUGCGGCGAAGGCGGGUAGCUGGGCCGACACUGACGCUGAGGCGCGAAAGCCAGGGGAGCGAACGGG